RNAcentral lists this unclassified non-coding RNA (352 nucleotides) under soil metagenome. Its description in RNAcentral is "partial contains 5.8S ribosomal RNA, internal transcribed spacer 2, and large subunit ribosomal RNA". The stretch from base 1 to 120 matches the Rfam family "5.8S ribosomal RNA", at positions 35 to 154 of the family's 154-position model. The record is from RNAcentral.
GAUGAAGAACGCAGCGAAAUGCGAUAAGUAAUGCGAAUUGCAGAAUUCAGUGAGUCAUCGAAUCUUUGAACGCACAUUGCGCCCGCCAGUAUUCUGGCGGGCAUGCCUGUUCGAGCGUCAUUACAACCCUCAGGCCCCCGGGCCUGGCGUUGGGGAUCGGCGGAGCCCCCCGUGGGCACACGCCGUCCCCCAAAUACAGUGGCGGUCCCGCCGCAGCUUCCAUCGCGUAGUAGCUAACACCUCGCGACUGGAGAGCGGCGCGGCCACGCCGUAAAACACCCAACUCUUCUGAAGUUGACCUCGAAUCAGGUAGGAAUACCCGCUGAACUUAAGCAUAUCAAUAAGCGGAGGA